Molecule: ribosomal RNA, 1053 nt
Filed under: Triticum aestivum (bread wheat)
Lineage: Eukaryota; Viridiplantae; Streptophyta; Magnoliopsida; Poales; Poaceae
Description: partial small subunit ribosomal RNA
Source: RNAcentral
AUGCAAGCUCGCGCCGGAUCGGCGGCCGGCGCCGCCGCGCUCGCCGCCACGAAGCAGCACCCGGCGGCCGCCUCGUCCCUCUUCGCGCUGCUCUCCCUCUCGCUGCUCCUCCUCCGGCUGCUGCUCCGCCUCCGGCUCGCCGCCUUCCGCGACGCCGCGCUCACGCUCCACCUCCUCGCGCGCCUCCGCAUCCGGCCCGUCACCCUCCGCCUCCCCGGCCCGCACGCCACCACGCUCCGCGUCUGGUGCCCGGCCUCGCCGUCCGGCAAGCCGCCGCCGCUGCUCCUCCACGGCUUCGGCGGCGACGCCAAGUGGACGUGGGCGCGCAACCUGGCCGCGCUCUCCCGCAGCUUCCACCUCUACGUGCCGGACCUGGUCUUCUUCGGCUCGCACUCCCGCUCCGCCUCGCCGCUCCGGUCCGUGGCCUUCCAGGCCCGCUGCGCCGCGGACGCGAUGCGGCUCCUCGGCGUGGGCCGGUACGACGUGGCCGGGAUCAGCUACGGGGGGUUCGUGGCGUACCGGAUGGCGGCCGUGGAGGCCCGGGAGAGCGUGGCCAGGGUUGUCAUCAUGACCAGCGGCGUGGCGGCCACGGUGCAGGAGAUGGGCGAGCUGGCGGCGCGGGAGGAGAUGGCCGUGGAGGAGGCGCUGCUGCCCGACAGCGCCGCCGGGCUGCGCCGGCUCGUGCACCGGUCCAUGCACCGCCCCCCGCCCUGGCUGCCGGACUUCGUGCUCCACGAUUUCAUCCAGCUGAUGUUCGUGGACCAGAGAAAGGAGAGAACGGAGCUGCUGCGAGAACUACUCAGGAGCGGAGCCGGCAUCGAUCCCCUCCCGGCUCUCACUCAGAAAACGCUGGUUCUGUGGGGAGACAAGGACCAGGUGUUCCCCGUCGAUCUUGGCUACAAACUGCACAGGCAUCUAGGCAAGAAAUCGAGGCUAGAGAUAAUCAAGGACGCAGGGCACGCGCUGCAGUUGGAGGGGGCCGACAAGGUCAACAGUUUCAUCAAGUCGUUCUUCCUAGAUGAACGGGAUGAGCCAGAAUUCGGCACAACCUGA